Molecule: ribosomal RNA, 301 nt
Filed under: uncultured bacterium
Lineage: Bacteria
Description: partial 16S ribosomal RNA
Rfam family: Bacterial small subunit ribosomal RNA
Source: RNAcentral
CAGUAGCCACGGUAAUACGAAGGGGGCUAGCGUUGUUCGGAUUUACUGGGCGUAAAGCGCACGUAGGCGGACUUUUAAGUCAGGGGUGAAAUCCCGGGGCUCAACCCCGGAACUGCCUUUGAUACUGGAAGUCUUGAGUAUGGUAGAGGUGAGUGGAAUUCCGAGUGUAGAGGUGAAAUUCGUAGAUAUUCGGAGGAACACCAGUGGCGAAGGCGGCUCACUGGACCAUUACUGACGCUGAGGUGCGAAAGCGUGGGGAGCAAACAGGAUUAGAUACCCCCGUAGUCCCUGUCUCUUAUAC